GAUGAACGCUGGCUACAGGCUUAACACAUGCAAGUCGAGGGGAAACGGCAUUGAGUGCUUGCACUGAAUGGACGUCGACCGGCGCACGGGUGAGUAACGCGUAUCCAACCUUCCCGUUACUGCGGGAUAACCUGCCGAAAGGCAGACUAAUACCGCAUGUUCUUCGAUGACGGCAUCAGAUUCGAAGCAAAGAUCCGUCGGUAACGGAGGGGGAUGCGUCUGAUUAGCUGGUUGGCGGGGCGACGGCCCACCAAGGCGACGAUCAGUAGGGGUUCUGAGAGGAAGGUCCCCCACAUUGGAACUGAGACACGGUCCAAACUCCUACGGGAGGCAGCAGUGAGGAAUAUUGGUCAAUGGGCGGAAGCCUGAACCAGCCAAGUAGCGUGCAGGAUGACGGCCCUACGGGUUGUAAACUGCUUUUAUGCGGGGAUAAAGUGAGGGACGCGUCCCUUUUUGCAGGUACCGCAUGAAUAAGGACCGGCUAAUUCCGUGCCAGCAGCCGCGGUAAUACGGAAGGUCCGGGCGUUAUCCGGAUUUAUUGGGUUUAAAGGGAGCGUAGGCCGGGGAUUAAGUGUGUUGUGAAAUGUAGGCGCCCAACGUCUGACUUGCAGCGCAUACUGGUUCCCUUGAGUACGCGCAACGCCGGCGGAAUUCGUCGUGUAGCGGUGAAAUGCUUAGAUAUGACGAAGAACCCCGAUUGCGAAGGCAGCCGGCGGGAGCGCAACUGACGCUGAAGCUCGAAGGUGCGGGUAUCGAACAGG
RNAcentral lists this ribosomal RNA (761 nucleotides) under uncultured Prevotella sp. Its description in RNAcentral is "bacterial SSU rRNA". It matches the Rfam family "Bacterial small subunit ribosomal RNA", at positions 28 to 776 of the family's 1533-position model. The record is from RNAcentral. Lineage: Bacteria; Pseudomonadati; Bacteroidota; Bacteroidia; Bacteroidales; Prevotellaceae.